AAUAUUGGACAAUGGGCGAAAGCCUGAUCCAGCCAUGCCGCGUGUGUGAAGAAGGCCUUUUGGUUGUAAAGCACUUUAAGCGAGGAGGAGGCUACUUGGAUUAAUACUCUAGGAUAGUGGACGUUACUCGCAGAAUAAGCACCGGCUAACUCUGUGCCAGCAGCCGCGGUAAUACAGAGGGUGCGAGCGUUAAUCGGAUUUACUGGGCGUAAAGCGUGCGUAGGCGGCUUUUUAAGUCGGAUGUGAAAUCCCUGAGCUUAACUUAGGAAUUGCAUUCGAUACUGGGAAGCUAGAGUAUGGGAGAGGAUGGUAGAAUUCCAGGUGUAGCGGUGAAAUGCGUAGAGAUCUGGAGGAAUACCGAUGGCGAAGGCAGCCAUCUGGCCUAAUACUGACGCUGAGGUACGAAAGCAUGGGGAGCAAACAGGAUUAGAUACCCUGGUAGUCCAUGCCGUAAACGAUGUCUACUAGCCGUUGGGGCCUUUGAGGCUUUAGUGGCGCAGCUAACGCGAUAAGUAGACCGCCUGGGGAGUACGGUCGCAAGACUAAAACUUAAAUGAAUUGACGGGGGCAAGGGCGAAUUCUGCAGAUAUCCAUCACACUGGCGGCCGCUCGAGCAUGC
RNAcentral lists this ribosomal RNA (619 nucleotides) under uncultured bacterium. RNAcentral describes it as "bacterial SSU rRNA". It matches the Rfam family "Bacterial small subunit ribosomal RNA", at positions 360 to 970 of the family's 1533-position model. The record is from RNAcentral.